GAGAUCAAGGCAUGAUUUAAAAAAUAAAAAAAAAAGAGGGAAAAGGGGGGAAACCGAAUUUGCCUUGCACGGACUCCAAAAAAGAGCUUCUUUUUUGCACAAAGGGUAUUUGGUUCCCCCCACUUUCCCUAUAAAUAGAUGCACCAUUACCCUUCAUUUUUCAUGCUUUCUAGCCCCCAAAAAUGAUGAAAAAAUAUCAUU
Molecule: long non-coding RNA, 201 nt
Filed under: Lathyrus oleraceus (garden pea)
Lineage: Eukaryota; Viridiplantae; Streptophyta; Magnoliopsida; Fabales; Fabaceae
Description: Pisum sativum (pea) long non-coding RNA (PSAT_LNC003661)
Source: RNAcentral